AGCUGCCCUGGGAAUCUUGUCUGAACAACAAGUUAACUGCUGUUCCCAGUUAUAUCUGGUCUUUCCCACCCCCAAACAUACACAAAAGAUUUUUGUCAUUCUUGGCACUGGACAACAGAAGUGAUAAGACAUGCCAGCAGAACUCUAAAGGCAGAAUGUCCUUCCACCUGUUUUAUGCUGUAAGACAAACUUCCAAGUGCGAGGCAGUGUGGAGGGCUGUUGCCUUGAAUGGCAGCUGAAUGCACCAGCGGGAUCCUUGGCAGCAAUGCCCAGGCACUGAAGUCGGGCAUUCAGGAGAGCUAAAUGGAGAAAAGAAACUUGAGCAAACUGCUUCCUGGAACACUGAGAACCUGAAUGGGAAAUUAAGAAGAACCAGAUUCUUUCUAUUCUUCCACCAGCCAAGUUUUGAAGAUUUGUUUUGAAUCUUGAAGAGAGAGCAGCAAG
Molecule: long non-coding RNA, 444 nt
Filed under: Homo sapiens (human)
Lineage: Eukaryota; Metazoa; Chordata; Mammalia; Primates; Hominidae
Description: non-protein coding lnc-SEPT7-1:17
Source: RNAcentral